Populus nigra (black poplar) is the source of this 663-nucleotide long non-coding RNA. RefSeq lists it as uncharacterized. The transcript is spliced from 2 exons. The record is from RefSeq and is a predicted model, not a curated record. Lineage: Eukaryota; Viridiplantae; Streptophyta; Magnoliopsida; Malpighiales; Salicaceae.
UUAGCUCCACAAUUUUUCCUUGCAAGCUUAUCCACAAUGACCACUGUAUUUAUUACAAGCACAAAAUUAUAAUUAUUAUUUUUUGUUAUAUAUAUAAACAAGGCCCAGCCAAGGUUUUUGAGUUUUAGAAUAAAAUGCACCAUCUUUUUAAACAAAUGUAACCCUUCUAAAGGGAAAUCAAUCCAAUGCCUAAGAGUACAAGUUAACAGACAUGGAUCUCGAGGUUGGAGAAGGUAGAUAUACCAUGUUACACGCUCAAACAGGGACCCACGGAAGGAAGCUGAGACCCUCAAACAAGGUUGCAGCUGCUACUUAAUUUCAAAGGUGGACAAAGUCUAGCCAGUUCUCCGCGUUUUUCUUUCCUGAAAGUGCUGUUGGAAAUGUCUCGGACAUGGUGUACCUCAGCACCAGACCAGUUAUUAAUCCUCCGACCAUGAGGAAAUAUCCCAGAACCCUUUCAAAGGCAAUGUGUGAAUCAAACCUUGGACAUGGAAGCAAAUCGUGCCAGAGCUCAACCACUCUAAAGUCAAACAAACCUCCGGGUAGAAAGAUUCCACACUCAAUACAAGACCUUGAAAGGCAAAAUGUUAGCCAAAUUCGGCAAUUAACAUAAUGUAAUUAAAAUAAAUGGUGAAUUGUGAAAUAGCACACGUUUACAUGCUA